Molecule: RNA transcript, 786 nt
Organism: Amphibalanus amphitrite
Lineage: Eukaryota; Metazoa; Arthropoda; Thecostraca; Balanomorpha; Balanidae
Gene: mRpS21
Gene name: 28S ribosomal protein S21, mitochondrial-like
Exons: 4
Source: RefSeq, a predicted model, not a curated record
AGUAGUAAAGCAGGCGUCACACUUGUUGCAAAGUGCAGAGGCCAGCUUUACCAACAGAAAACUAGCCACCUGCCAGAAUUUUUUGUCUAAAAAUUGCUUGACAUAUGGCGGGUAAACGUGGUGGGUAUGUAGGGCUUUACCGUAUGUGAAGAGGUCUUAAGGCAAAAAAAAAAUCCAGCAGGCUGCUAUUUUUCUGUUGGUAAAACUUGCCUCUGGUGUCGUGCAAGGUAAAGAUAGAUGUGCUGAAAUUAAAGAGUAAAUGAACAGUUUUUGAAACUGGGCUUGUCACCUACCUACCUGAACUGGCCAAGUUGAAAUUAUGGGUACCUAGCAACUUGCAUCUCUUACUUACAGCUUCUCGAGAUUUUGUCAGGCCAACUAGGCCUGUGGGUUUCGUUCUGACCAAGCUCAUGAGCCCAAGAUGGUUAGAAACGUCUAUGCAAAGUUUGUUGCCAGAACAGUGCUGGUCAAAAAUGGUCAGGUUGAUGAUGCCAUGAAACUUCUGAACAGACUCCUGGGACAGGAAGGUUUCCUGGAGCAGUACCGGAGGACGAGGUACUACGAAAAACCGUCGCAGUUCCGAAGACGGAUCAACUUCGAAAAAUGCAAGGCGAUACACAAUGAAGACAUGGACCGGAAACUGCAGUUUUUGAUGAGGAAAAAUCGGCUCACACCUUGGGUUGGCUGUGAAUGAAUGGCUAUGCGGUGUCAUAUGUCUCAAUGCUUGUUAUACCUAUGUAGAAUGAUUAUGUGUCAACUUGGUUUCAUAAACAUGUCGUGAAAACA